GCGAACGGGUGAGUAACACGUGGGGCAAUCUGCCCUUCACUCUGGGAAAGCCCUGGGGGACGGGGUCUAAUACCGGAUAACACUCCCACCCGCAUGGGKGGGGGUUAAAAGCUCCGGCGGUGAAGGAUGAGCCCGCGGCCUAUCAGCUUGUUGGUGAGGUAACGGCUCACCAAGGCGACGACGGGUAGCCGGCCUGAGAGGGCGACCGGCCACACUGGGACUGAGACACGGCCCAGACUCCUACGGGAGGCAGCAGUGGGGAAUAUUGCACAAUGGGCGAAAGCCUGAUGCAGCGACGCCGCGUGAGGGAUGACGGCCUUCGGGUUGUAAACCUCUUUCAGCAGGGAAGAAGCGAAAGUGACGGUACCUGCAGAAGAAGCGCCGGCUAACUACGUGCCAACAGCCGCGGUAAUAUGUAGGGCGCAAGCGUUGUCCGGAAUUAUUGGGCGUAAAGAGCUCGUAGGCGGCUUGUCRCGUCGGGUGUGAAAGCC
This 491-nucleotide ribosomal RNA is filed under the name Streptomyces sp. RNAcentral's name for it is "bacterial SSU rRNA". Lineage: Bacteria; Bacillati; Actinomycetota; Actinomycetes; Kitasatosporales; Streptomycetaceae. The record is from RNAcentral.